GAAUCAGACCGUCCCUGAUCAAUUGGGUAGAAGCAGAGGUGGAACGGGAGCAAGAUUCUUUAUCGUACUCCGCCUGUAGGAAAUCAAAACCCUGCUCGGCGGCUGAGGAAGCGGAGGCGGAGGCGGAGGAGGAGGUGAGUGUUUGCCUGAGUCUUAGCGCCCAGAACACAACCCAUCUCAUCAAAGCAAUUACAAAGGCCGCUUUGUACAGUACGUGGCUCAGUAUCAAGGCCGAUGAGGACGCGUCGUCGAUGACGAAGAAACCCAUCGGAGCAAAUGCGAGCAG
This 286-nucleotide long non-coding RNA is filed under the name Malus domestica (apple). RNAcentral's name for it is "long non-coding RNA (MDOM_LNC001459)". The record is from RNAcentral. Lineage: Eukaryota; Viridiplantae; Streptophyta; Magnoliopsida; Rosales; Rosaceae.